Long non-coding RNA from Ictalurus punctatus (channel catfish), 690 nucleotides. NCBI's taxonomy places the organism in Eukaryota, Metazoa, Chordata, Actinopteri, Siluriformes, Ictaluridae. The record is from Ensembl.
CCGGACAGGAACGCCGUGCUCUCUGGUGCAUUGUGGGUGUUAGGCAGCGUGACCUACGAGUGUGUAACUGUGCACCUAGAUAAGAGCGAGCCGAAGGCUGGGAAAGGGGAAAGAAAAACCGAGACAGUGAAAGGGAGACAAAGGCCAUCGUCUGGUGUUGGCAGUAGAUGAGAAACUUGGUAAUUCGGUGGUUCUGGCUGAGUGAGAAUGAAUCAGAGAGCUUGUGGGGGGCGGUGCUUCAUUUGGCACUGAUUACGGUGACCUGCAUGCUGAUUGGUCAGGAUUCAGGCCCUUCACCAUCCUCUCGGGACUCCUGGGAAGCCGGGGGCAUUCUGCAAAAUGACAGGAAAAAAACCCAGACAAAAUCGAGUGCACUUAAAGGGAACCUCACUGUCAGAAUCACACGUCUGCCCAACCUGGGGCUUCUUGCCUCGUAUGAGGCUUUAUGCCCAACGUGAGCCGUCUAACCCAUCCUGGGGCUUCUUGACCUGAGGUUUUUUGCCCAACACGGGUCCAGCUGAGGCUUCUUGUCAAACCCGGGGCUUCUCAUCCACUCUAAAGGGGAUUUUUUCCAAACCUGGAGCUUCUUGCCCUGAGGCUUUGCCCAGCAGAAGGCUUGGACUAUGGAGCUGCACCUAGAUGUGUAUCAAGAGGAGGCUCACCACCAUCUCUAACCAUGUCCUUUCUUUA